UUNAGAGUUUGAUCAUGCUCAGAGUGACCGCUGGCGGUAGNNUACAACAUGCAAGUCGAACGGCAGCACAGUAAGAGCUUGCUCUUAUGGGUGGCGAGUGGCGGACGGGUGAGGAAUACAUCGGAAUCUACUUUUUCGUGGGGGAUAACGUAGGGAAACUUACGCUAAUACCGCAUACGACCUACGGGUGAAAGCAGGGGACCUUCGGACCUUGCGCGAUUGAAUGAGCCGAUGUCGGAUUAGCUAGUUGGCGGGGUAAAGGCCCACCAAGGCGACGAUCCGUAGCUGGUCUGAGAGUAUGAUCAGCCACACUGGAACUGAGACACGGUCCAGACUCCUACGGGAGGCAGCAGUGGGGAAUAUUGGACAAUGGGCGCAAGCCUGAUCCAGCCAUACCGCGUGGGUGAAGAAGGCCUUCGGGUUGUAAAGCCCUUUUGUUGGGAAAGAAAUCCAGCCGGCUAAUACCUGGUUGGGAUGACGGUACCCAAAGAAUAAGCACCGGCUAACUUCGUGCCAGCAGCCGCGGUAAUACGAAGGGUGCAAGCGUUACUCGGAAUUACUGGGCGUAAAGCGUGCGUAGGUGGUUGUUUAAGUCUGUUGUGAAAGCCCUGGGCUCAACCUGGGAACUGCAGUGGAAACUGGACAACUAGAGUGUGGUAGAGGGUAGCGGAAUUCCCGGUGUAGCAGUGAAAUGCGUAGAGAUCGGGAGGAACAUCCAUGGCGAAGGCAGCUACCUGGACCAACACUGACACUGAGGCACGAAAGCGUGGGGAGCAAACAGGAUUAGAUACCCUGGUAGUCCACGCCCUAAACGAUGCGAACUGGAUGUUGGGUGCAAUUUGGCACGCAGUAUCGAAGCUAACGCGUUAAGUUCGCCGCC
RNAcentral lists this ribosomal RNA (880 nucleotides) under Stenotrophomonas sp. SK199. RNAcentral describes it as "bacterial SSU rRNA". It matches the Rfam family "Bacterial small subunit ribosomal RNA", at positions 9 to 873 of the family's 1533-position model. Lineage: Bacteria; Pseudomonadati; Pseudomonadota; Gammaproteobacteria; Lysobacterales; Lysobacteraceae. The record is from RNAcentral.